Molecule: ribosomal RNA, 253 nt
Filed under: uncultured bacterium
Lineage: Bacteria
Description: partial 16S ribosomal RNA
Rfam family: Bacterial small subunit ribosomal RNA
Source: RNAcentral
UACGUAGGGUGCGAGCGUUAAUCGGAAUUACUGGGCGUAAAGCGUGCGUAGGCGGUCCGCGAAGUCUGAUGUGAAAGCCCCGGGCUCAACCUGGGAACUGCAUUGGAAACUAACGGGCUCGAGUGUGGCAGAGGGGGGUGGAAUUCCACGUGUAGCAGUGAAAUGCGUAGAGAUGUGGAGGAACACCGAUGGCGAAGGCAGCCCCCUGGGCUAACACUGACGUUCAGGCACGAAAGCGUGGGGAGCAAACAGG